RNAcentral lists this long non-coding RNA (856 nucleotides) under Marmota monax (woodchuck). Lineage: Eukaryota; Metazoa; Chordata; Mammalia; Rodentia; Sciuridae. The record is from RNAcentral.
CGGAUUCUUCUUCAUUAUCCAUCUGGAAUUCAUUUUUGUCUCCUCUUUCAGUCACCAUGUCUGGGAAGUUGACUCACUUGAUUUUUUCCUUGGAAAAGACUCUCAUGUCUGACCCUUCCCAUUCCCACCACUCCCCCUUUAAUUCCCUUGAGCCUGUACUAACACAGUAAUUCUCGCACAGCACGUCCUACCCCAGUGUUAUCCACAGCAACUACAGCAUCAUCAUAAAGCACAACAUCACAGCCCUGCUCAAAAGCUUUCUUUGUUCUUUCUUUUUUUAAAAAAAUUUUUUGUAGUUGUGGAUGGACAGCUUGCCUUUAUUUGUUUCAUUUUCAUGUGGUGCUAAAGAUGGAACCCAGUGCUUCACACAUGCUAGGCAAGUGCUCUGCCACUGAGCUACAGCCCCAGCCCCAAGCUUUCUUAUCUCCAUUUCUUACCUGGUUUUCGAGACCUUCUACAAUAAGACCCCAGCUAAGUGUCUCAUCGAUUCUAAGAAACAUUUUUUUUAAAAGAGGCAUUGAAAUGUCUCUAAAAUUAGAUUGCAUCUUACAAUUGACGGAAAUCAUAGUUUCUUAGAUUCAGUGAUCUUUUCCUAGUUUACCUUGGCUAUAGGAUACCUCUAUUCUAGACAGCAGAACUUCUCACUGUGCUAUGCUGUGGUAACUCAUUCUUUCUCAACUAAAACUUUUGUUUAGACAUUUUCCUGUCCAUAUAUCCUUUCCCCUGCAACUCCUGUCUUAAGUCAGUCUGUAAAAAUCCAGGUGACCUUUAAGGCCCAGCUCAAAAGCCAUUGCCUCAAAGAACUUUGUUCACCACCUUAGCUGAACCUCAGCCUUUGUCUUUGUCUUUCUUUGCC